CAGCAAAGUAACACUGAAGGUUGAUGGGAACUCCAUCAGUUCUAGAAGGUACUCAAAGCCAUUAGAACACAGAGGCACAAUUGUGCUGGGCUACAGUCUAAGGCCAGUAGAGAGGCAGCAUGGUUUUGUUGGCUGCAUGCACAGAAUUAAAAUACAAGGUCAGCGACUAGAUCCAAUACGCCUGAUGUCUUCCUCAGCUGCUAUAGGCCUCUUGCUGGAUGGGUGUCAGUUGACUGACCACUGUUCUAACAACAACAUAUGUGAACAUAACUCUGUAUGUCUGUCCGACUGGGAUGGCACACACUGCAUAUGUCCAGGGGACCAUUACGUAGGGAAAGCCUGCCAUUUCU
Physella acuta is the source of this 350-nucleotide long non-coding RNA. RefSeq lists it as uncharacterized. NCBI's taxonomy places the organism in Eukaryota, Metazoa, Mollusca, Gastropoda, Physidae. The record is from RefSeq and is a predicted model, not a curated record.